RNAcentral lists this transfer RNA (53 nucleotides) under Cycloneda sanguinea. RNAcentral describes it as "tRNA-Pro". The record is from RNAcentral. Lineage: Eukaryota; Metazoa; Arthropoda; Insecta; Coleoptera; Coccinellidae.
UAGGGUUUAAUUGAUAGAAUUUUUGUUUUGGGAUUCAAAAAUUCUUAACUUAA